UACAUAUAUAUAUCCUCACACACAUCCUGACUAAAUUAUAAUAAAUUGAACGAGAUCCAUCCAUCUGGCAUAAAUCUGAGGACCGCGAAUCCAGUCAGCGACGAGGUAAAAAGAAAAUCUCUUCGAUGGAUGUGGCAUUAUUUUAAAAGCGCAUAGGAAGAAAUGGUAAAUUUGCUACCAAUUUAGAAGAAGCCGAAAUUACAUUUUCUACGCAUGCUGUGGCAAGUUCUUAUACCUAUAUCUUAGUGAAAACAAGCAAAAAGGCUUUAAAAUUUGGGGUCACAUUUCAUAAUAAAGAACAGACGGUCUGUAUCGUGGAAAACGUCUCUCGUAUACAUCAAACACAUAUCUGUGCUCUUUGUAAUCGGCAAACUCAUUUCGUGUACUGCGAAAAGCAAGGAAUUAAUUACGCGAAUAGUUUAUUGCAAUCACUUUAAUUUACAUUCCUUUCUUGUGUUUUGUUUCUCAUAAUGUCUGAUUGUAAGAUAACGUACUUACCAGACGAGAUAAUAACCAUCAUUCUCGGCUAUAAUGUUAUCACUAUGGAGGAUAUCAUGAACUUUCGAUGCGUGUGCAAGAAAUUUCGUUAUGCAGCAACCACAUAUAACAAGUUCUUGGAAAAAAAGUUAUCUCAAAGAUGGCCCUAUGCAAAGAGAAGAUAUGAAAGUCUUACGGAAAAAGAAAAAGAAGAAAACCUAAAUUUUGUUAUAAUAGGCAUAAAUUC
Non-coding RNA from Nylanderia fulva, 724 nucleotides. The record is from RefSeq and is a predicted model, not a curated record. Lineage: Eukaryota; Metazoa; Arthropoda; Insecta; Hymenoptera; Formicidae.